GUGCUCGCUUCAGCAGCACAUAUAUAAACAAUUGGAAUGAUACAGAGAAGAUUAGCAUGGCCCCUGCACAAAGAUAACACGCAAAUUCGUGAAGUGCUCCAUAUUUUG
Molecule: non-coding RNA, 108 nt
Organism: Pteropus alecto (black flying fox)
Lineage: Eukaryota; Metazoa; Chordata; Mammalia; Chiroptera; Pteropodidae
Source: Rfam